RNAcentral lists this ribosomal RNA (370 nucleotides) under uncultured organism. Its description in RNAcentral is "bacterial SSU rRNA". It matches the Rfam family "Bacterial small subunit ribosomal RNA", at positions 526 to 897 of the family's 1533-position model. The record is from RNAcentral.
CGGAGGGUGCAAGCGUUAUCCGGAUUCACUGGGUUUAAAGGGUGCGUAGGUGGGCAAGUAAGUCAGUGGUGAAAUCUCCGGGCUUAACCCGGAAACUGCCAUUGAUACUAUUUGUCUUGAAUACUGUGGAGGUCAGCGGAAUAUGUCAUGUAGCGGUGAAAUGCUUAGAUAUGACAUAGAACACCAAUUGCGAAGGCAGCUGGCUACACAAAUAUUGACACUGAGGCACGAAAGCGUGGGGAUCAAACAGGAUUAGAUACCCUGGUAGUCCACGCCCUAAACUAUGGAUACUCGACAUUUGCGAUAAAACUGCAAGUGUCUGAGCGAAAGCAUUAAGUAUCCCACCUGGGAAGUACGAUCGCAAGAUUAG